AGAGAGAGAGAGAGAGAGAGAGAGAUGGAAUCCAAAGCAGGCUCAGGCUCUGAGCUGUCAGCACAGAGCCCGACCAGGGCUCGAACUCAUGAACCGUGAGAUCAUGACCUGAGCUGAAGUCGGAUGCUUAACUAAGACAUCCAGGUGCCCUAAAGGCUCCAACUCAUAAUACCAUCACACUGGGGAUGAGGCCUUCGACAUAUGAAUUUGGGGAGACACAUCCAUGCAGUCCAUGGCAGUAUUACACUGGAUCUGGAACUUCUUGGGACUGCAAAAAUGUGUUGGCCUAGUUUGUGACAUGCCAACCAAGCGUGGUACAUACCUACACAGUGGCAAUGAUGUGGCCCUAGUCUUUGUGUGUUUUCUACCAUAUCUGAAAGGCAGAGCAAUGAGAACCCACUUCAAAAUGGAGGGCAGGACAGUCGGCUUUCCCAAGCAGAGGCCCUCAGUCACAGCUUUUCCAGGACAUUCUGCGUUCCAGGCACAUGCCCUGCAGAAUCUCAGGCAGAUGGCUGGGCUUCUCACUUGCAUCUCCCUGGCUCCACAGUUUGUUCUAUCUUUCCCUUUUAAAAUGCGGUUCAUUCUAGAAACAGAUGAAUUGGUACACACAGUACUUCUGAGGAUAGAUCCACGAGAAGUCAGCCGCAAAGCCCAGGAGAAGCGCAAUCUCUGGGAAGAAGCCAAGCACAGAUUUCAGUGGAACAUCUCCCUCAUGCUUGAACAAGUUUUUCUUUCUUGUUGAAACCUGUUCAAUUCCCUCUAUACACCCUACUCUCCAGACAGAUGGACAGACAAGGAGACAGAUACAUGCUUAUUUUGGUCUAAACACUUCUUUGCUGAAGUAUAGCUUUCCGCCAGGCUCAGUUACGUGCUGCUAAGGAAUCAUUCACAUUCAAUCUGUCUACUUCACCCCAGCCUGUGGAACACUUCACACACAUUCCCAAGUCCCAACACUCCUCAGAAACUGACAACGAAAACAGCAACACUAACAGGACUUCACAGAAUGAUUUUCCCCGAACAACCGGAAGCGGCUCUAACAUUGUCUCGUAGAACAUCGUCGUGGCCUGGCGUGAAGAUAGGGUCGGUGAUAGGAUCCCAAUUAGGAAGAUGAGGACACUAAAGAAACCUUAGUCAGUUUGUGAGUAAAGCAAUGUGGUUCUGUUCUGGCCUCCAAACCAGUUCCUAUCCACCAGCUACCAACUCUUUUGAAGAGUCAGAAUGUUGAGACCAGUGAAAAGCUGAAGAGCUGUGUCAGUUAUCAGCCACUUGCCUAUGAGGCAGGGAGAGAGGAGGUUUUCGUGUAACGUCUUCCCACUGACCUUAACCUGUCUGCUUCCUUUCUAAGAGAGAGAGAGAGAGAGAAAGAGAGAGAGACAGAAGAGAGAGAGAGAGAGAGACAGAGAGAGGGAGACAGAGAGAGGGAAGGAAGGAGGAGGGACUAUUCAACAAUCCAUCAGGCAAAUGCCUGUACAGUUGUUUAAAGUAGAACCUGGUUGAUUCCAGUGGUUUCUUACAGCCUUAGCUCACAUUGCCUCACAGGUGAAUCAAUUCAUCCUUUUACAUUCAAACAAAAGGCAUUCUGGGAUAAUCUUUCAGAGACGGAAUGACUCCCUUAGGAUACAUACACACAAGAAGAACGCUAAUUCUAUCACAGUGCUAAUGUACCAUUACUAGUAAUACGCUUCCUCCAAUAAAUUAACCAGUACCUUAGGUCACAGCUAAAUACAUAAACCAGUUUGAGUGAGUUAGUGGGAACACUGGUUAAACGAUAAAGAGACUACGAAUUAUCACACGUGGAAAAGUCAAGAACUCCAGAGUGCCGAAGCAAAGACAGGAUUCAGGAGAGAAGAUGGCCGCUUUUACAUAGUUUGAGGGUUGUCCUGUGGACGAUUCUACAUGUGCUCCUGAGUGCCCAGAAAACAGGCCUGGGAUGGCCCACUGACGAUACAGGGAGGCAGAGUCUGUUAUAUUAUAAAAGCAUCUAAGAUUUAAGGGGCAUCUACGAUGCGUGAGCCACUCUGGAGGGUGCUUUUACAAAUGAUAGCUCAGUGAACCACCUGCCCCCACCCUGCACGGUAGCCAACAGUUAACAUGGUGGUAGAGAAGUUAACAACGGAGGUUCAGAGGAACUGAGACACUUGCUCCAGGUCACAGUGCUUCCGAGAGGCAGAAAGAGGAUUCGAUCCAACUCUAGGCCACUCCCAAGGCUGUGCCCGUUUGACAGCUGGCCCCUAUGGGAAAAGAGCUGCUAAAAAGGGACAGGAAUAUACAAGUAAAUACAGCACCUGGAAUAGCUUCCAUUCACGACGGAAAGCCGUUUGUCUAAAAAGAAUCUUAAAAUCCUAAAACGUUGAUUAUGGGCUUCUCUUGAAGAAACAGAGUGGAGAGACCGUAAGCUUUCAUUUGUCUUUCCUUCACUUCUUAUUAAGGGCAGUUUUGUGGCAGCAAUAAAGUAAAAUAACUCAGUAUCGAUGUUCGGUAAGCUCCCCAUCAAACACAGAGGAAAAAGGGAAGAAGGAUGUUGCUAUAAAAAUACCUGUAAACUGAUCCAUCCACAUAAGACCACUUUAAAAGCCAGGGCAGAUGGAUUCUCAGUUGCCCUUUCUUUUCCCAUUUCUGUCUAACAAGCGCAAUCUUUCCUAACUUCCGUCUGAACAAUUCCAAAUGACGACUUGAUUUGCAGUGAUGGGCCUGCCAGGAAGCCGGGAGCUCUGGUGAGCAUUUAAAGUCUCGCCCUCCUCUGCCUCUCCGAGCUUCUGGUUCCUCCUGAGUAGCAUGAGGGGACCCUGGUGGUCUUUUUCACCUCUGCCUCCAUGAACGCCAGCACAUCCCUACGACAACAUCCCCACAUGUUGUCCUGUGACUGAUAUUACUGUGUAUAAGCACAAUACGUGGCUAAGAAUAUCGCAUAAUGGAUGACAGCCCAGGACCAGACCACUCGGUCUUAAAUCUCAGCCAGCACCCCAGGACCAGCUGUGAGACCUGGCGAAGCAUCUAACCUCCCUCUGUCUCUGAGCCCGAGUUUCCGCAUCCACGACACGGGGCUAUGGAUGGUACCUGUGUCACGUGCUCGUCUCACCAUUAAGUGAGGGACUGAGUGUGUGCCAUCAUUACUAUUAUGGGGUGACAGUGGUUCUCUGCGUAUCAGGCUCAUCCAGGGGGCUUUGAAACACCCAUAGGUAAAGGCUCUAUUCCAGAGGGGUCGGAUCAGUAGAUCUGGGAGGGGGCUUCGGAAGCUGCCAAGUCCGUGCAGGGGGGACCCUGAUGCAAGGCUGGAGACAAAGAUUACCAUGGCAUCAGUUCACAGCAGGCCCCCAGAGACAGGUAAGGCAAACUUUGGGGGAAUGAGAAGCACACACCUUAGACCCAGACAGGUUUGGGUUCAAACACCAGCUUUGCAAUUUCUCAGCCACGUGGCCUGGAGCUAAUCACUUAUCUCCUGUGAGUCUCUGUCUUCUCAUCUGUAAAUGGAGAUAGCACCAACUUACUGAGUGUUGCCGUGAGGUUUAGAGAGAUCUGUGAAGGCUCCAGCAGGCAAUCGGUACAGGAUGCUUUAAAAAAUGUACACUUAUCCUUACGUGGAUUGCUCAAAACAGAAGGAAAGGAAACAGAAGAGCUGGCUAUCUGGGGCCUUUGGAACAGGCAGUUAAUCUUCUAAGAACUACGAAUUAUAAUUUGUCUUUUUUAGAUAACAAAUACAUCUGUAUGUUACAUGUUCUCCCUUUUGAACAAAACAAAUUUAUGUACUCUUUGCUACACACUGUUUUUUUUUUUUCUUUUCUUUUCUUUUUACUUAACAAUAUAUCUUGGGGAUUUUUUCCCAAUCCCUACACACGGAAGAUCCUCAUUUUUAUUCUACAGAAACAUGGUAUUCCGCUGAAAUGAUGUCUCAUAAUUUAACCAGUCGCCCCAUCGAGGGGCAUUUAGGGGGCUUUCUAGCAUUUUCUCAUACAAACAAUGCAGCAAUGACUAACUUUUAAAUAAAUCUUUUCACACAAAUGUAUCUGUAGGAUAAAUUCCUAGAAGUGAAAUCACUAGAUCAGAAGGUUUGUACAUUCGUUAUGUUGUUAAAAAAUCCCCCACCCACCCUCCGUAGAUUUUGCACCAGUUUGUAACUCCCAUCAGGAAUGAGAGGGAGCCUGCUCCCCACACCCCCAUGAACACACGCUCUUGUCAGGCUCUCUGGUCUUUGGCCAUCCAAUGGUCAGGAAGUGGUAUCCCAUGGUUUAAUUUGCCCUCCAAGUACAAUUGUGCCUAUUUUCAUGUUUUAGGACACUCUGAAUACUCUUUCCUGGGCAAUGAUUCUUCCUAUCCUUUGCCUGUUUCUCCAUUGGUUUGUUGGACUAUGUCAUUUUGAUUUAUAGCAGCUCUUUACAUAUUUGACUUGGCAGGCCUUGGUCUGUGAUAUGAAUUGCAAAUAUUUUUUUGCAGCUUGUCAUUUGUUUUUUGACUUUGCUUAUUGCUAAUUCGUCCUCCUGUAUUUGUUCGUCUGCCCACGUAGAAAUUUUUUAUGGAGUUAAAUUUACCAACUAUUUCUCUUAUGGCUUUUGGGUUUUGUAUCAUGGUUUUAAAGAGGCUUCCCUGUGCUGAUGUCACCAGAGAAUUCUCUUCCGGUUUCCUCCAAUAAAUGUAUUGUUUUACAUUCUGCAUUGAAAUCUUUGAUCCAUUUGAAAUGUACGCCGGUGUAAGACAUCUGACCCAACUCGCCAGUCUGCUCUUCUGUGGUAUCAUCAUUCACUACCACCCAACCUGAGCCCUUUAAAGAUGUAGAGAUCAUUCUGGAUGCCUGAUUCCAGGAAGGAGGAGGAGAAUUAAUGACACAUGGACCAAACGGUGAACAGCAAUCAGGGUGUUACCUCCCCAUUCCAUCUUUGCUUGAUUUUUUUUAAACUAUACUUCUCCCCAUAAAGCCAUAGGCCGUAAUUAUGUCAUACAAGCACCUGAAUCAAAAUCACUUUAAAGUA
Long non-coding RNA from Leopardus geoffroyi (Geoffroy's cat), 4964 nucleotides. RefSeq lists it as uncharacterized. The transcript is spliced from 2 exons. Lineage: Eukaryota; Metazoa; Chordata; Mammalia; Carnivora; Felidae. The record is from RefSeq and is a predicted model, not a curated record.